This 400-nucleotide ribosomal RNA is filed under the name uncultured bacterium. Its description in RNAcentral is "bacterial SSU rRNA". It matches the Rfam family "Bacterial small subunit ribosomal RNA", at positions 355 to 770 of the family's 1533-position model. The record is from RNAcentral.
CCGAGAAUAUUCCGCAAUGGGCGAAAGCCUGACGGAGCGACGCCGCGUGAAGGAUGAAGGCCUUUGGGUCGUAAACUUCUUUUAUGAGGGAGGAAAUUUUGACGUUACCUCAUGAAUAAGGAGCUCCUAAUUCCGUGCCAGCAGGAGCGGUCAUACGGAAGCUCCAAGCGUUACCCGGAAUCACUGGGCGUAAAGGGUGUGUAGGUUGUUUUGUUAGUCUUCUGUUAAAGACUGGGGCUCAACUCCAGGAGUGCGGGAGAAACGGCAAAACUAGAGAGUGAGAGAGGUGUACGGAACUCACGGUGUAGGAGUGAAAUCCGUUGAUAUCGUGGGGAACACCAAAGGCGAAGGCAGUACACUGGCUCAUUUCUGACACUGAGACACGAAAGCGUGGGUAGCG